RNAcentral lists this non-coding RNA (118 nucleotides) under Thermobrachium celere. Its description in RNAcentral is "MoCo sequence". It matches the Rfam family "Molybdenum/Tungsten riboswitch aptamer (Moco RNA motif)". The record is from RNAcentral. Lineage: Bacteria; Bacillati; Bacillota; Clostridia; Eubacteriales; Clostridiaceae. RNAcentral also lists the same sequence under 1 other name.
UAAUUAGUUCAGCUUCGAGCUGUAUAUCCUAAGGCUUAUGCUAAGGAGUACAGCCGAUAGGGUAUAUUUGGAAACAAAUAUACCUCCCAUUUAGGAAAGGAGCUGAUCUUGUGAAAAG